CGGUGCCUUCGGCGAUCGGCGCGGCGACGCCUUCGGGCGGCGUGCCGGCGGCCAUGCCGACGCCGGUCGCCGCGAUCUCGCGCGGGGCCGCGCC
RNAcentral lists this transfer RNA (94 nucleotides) under Neoroseomonas lacus. RNAcentral's name for it is "tRNA-Pro". Lineage: Bacteria; Pseudomonadati; Pseudomonadota; Alphaproteobacteria; Acetobacterales; Acetobacteraceae. The record is from RNAcentral.